RNAcentral lists this ribosomal RNA (460 nucleotides) under uncultured bacterium. RNAcentral's name for it is "bacterial SSU rRNA". It matches the Rfam family "Bacterial small subunit ribosomal RNA", at positions 29 to 486 of the family's 1533-position model. The record is from RNAcentral.
AGCGAACGUUUGCGGCGGGCCUAACACAUGCAAGUCGAACGCACUAGCAAUAGUGAGUGGCGCACGGGUGCGUAACACGUGGGUAAUCAACCCUUCAGCCUGGGAUAACGACUCGAAAGGGUCGCUAAUACCGGAUACGGCGCGAGAGGCUUCGGCUUCUCACGAGAAAGCCACGCAAGGGGCACUGAAGGACGAGCCUGCGGCCCAUCAGCUAGUUGGUGAGGUAAGAGCUCACCAAGGCUAAGACGGGUAGCUGGUCUGAGAGGAUGAUCAGCCGCACUGGAACUGAGACACGGUCCAGACUCCUACGGGAGGCAGCAGUGGGGAAUAUUGCGCAAUGGGCGAAAGCCUGACGCAGCCACGCCGCGUGAGCGAUGAAGGCCUCGGUCGUAAAGACGUCUGUGGGGAGGAGGACGAAGAAAGACCUGUGAAGAGCAGGCCUUGACGGUAGUCUCCUUAG